RNAcentral lists this small RNA (75 nucleotides) under Xanthomonas campestris. Its description in RNAcentral is "sX9 sRNA". It matches the Rfam family "Xanthomonas sRNA sX9". RNAcentral also lists the same sequence under 3 other names. Lineage: Bacteria; Pseudomonadati; Pseudomonadota; Gammaproteobacteria; Lysobacterales; Lysobacteraceae. The record is from RNAcentral.
AUGUACCCACGUACAUUCCGGUUCCUCCGCGCCGUCCGCACCCACCUGACGACUGCUCGCUACGUUUUGUCAACC